Molecule: small nuclear RNA, 18 nt
Filed under: Arabidopsis thaliana (thale cress)
Lineage: Eukaryota; Viridiplantae; Streptophyta; Magnoliopsida; Brassicales; Brassicaceae
Description: snRNA_17673
Source: RNAcentral
AUAAGCGGAGGAAAAGAA